This 1044-nucleotide long non-coding RNA is filed under the name Mus musculus (house mouse). Its description in RNAcentral is "predicted gene 29642, transcript variant 3 (Gm29642)". Lineage: Eukaryota; Metazoa; Chordata; Mammalia; Rodentia; Muridae. The record is from RNAcentral.
GGCAGAGUCAAUAGUACAUCUUGCCUGAUGCUGAGUCAAACUUAGGCUCUAAUUUUCCUGGGUGUCAGCUGACUGCAAAAACAGUGCCACGUGUCCUGGAAGGAGCGCAGGCUGAGCCAAGGCUUGGGAGCCGAUGCUGCUUGUCCUCCUGCCUGACGAUGAAACUCACCCAUACCGCAGUCUUCAGUUUACUCUGAAGAUGCCCUGGCUCCAACUUCCAAGGCUGGAUUAGAGGUGGGCUGUCACUUCCUCCUGACAUUUGUGUGUGUUCUGAAGAUCCAAACUCCGGUCCUCCUGCUGGUACAGCAAGCUCUUCAAUAGUUGGGCCAUCUCCCAAGACCCAAAUAAGCAAAACAAAAUGAUACUAACAAACAUCCAGUGAUCUGUAAGUCGAUCUGAAGACAUUCAACAUUAUCAUGAGAGCAUAAUUUUUUAAAUGAUUUGUUCAAAGUUUCUACCAAUCUAUCCUGGCAGCAGAGCCACAUGUUAAAGUUAUUGCUGUCUGAGUUACAACAGCUGCCCUGGGAGUCUUGUCUGAACAGCAAGUUAACUGCUGUUCACAGUCAUAUCUGGUCUUUCCCACCCCGAAAUAUACACAAAGGAUUUUUGUCAUUCUUGGCCCUGGUCAGUAGAAGCAACAGAGCACGCCAGAAGAACUCUCCAGGCAGAAUGUCCUUCCACCUGUUUAUGCUGUAAGACAGACUCCCAAAUGUGAGGCGCUGUGGAGAGCUGUUUCUUUGAAUGGCAGCCGAGCGUGCCAGCAGGAUCCUUGGCAGGGAUGCCUAGGCUCUGAAGCUGCCAUUCAGGAGAGCUAAAUAGAGAAGAGAAACUUGAGCAAACCACUUCCUGGAACACUGAGAUCCUGAAUGAGAAAUUUAGAAGCCCCAGAUCCUCUCUAUUCUUAUACCAGCCAAGGUCAGCUUUCCAAGCUCCUGUUUAUUUGAAGCUUUCCCUUUCAAAGGACUGUGGCGAUGGAGGAUGGUAAUAAAAAAGACUUCCUUUUCUUUCAGAAGAUAUUAAAGUUACUGUUGUGCUCCUCUUUAA